ACGAAAUAACACACACAUACACUAUACUAAAAUAAACACACAUACACAGGCGGCACAUGGCGGCAGCCACCACCUCACGGUGGUGGCUGUGGUGGCUUUUCUCGUAACUCCGGCCAACAAUACUCCAUACUACACUCCCUCGGGAUAAACACGCACGCACCAAAAUGUACCCAUAGCCACCCCACACACGGUGGUCGAAGGUGGCAGAGAACAAAACGACGACAAGGUGGUUCUCCUUGAGCUUUUCUGUACAGCGAACAACCCUUUACACGCCACGGAGGAGCAGCGAUAUACACACACACAAACACGACAGCAGUAGCAGCGAAAAAUGUUCGCUCGCUAGCAGGUCCCCGUCGUCGCCGGCGACAAGAGCUACGAUUGANCAGCCACCACAUCAUGGUGGUGGCUGUGGUGGCUUUUCUCGUAACCCCGGCCAACAAUACUCCAUACUACACUCCCUCGGGAUAAACACGCACGCACCAAAAUGUACCCAUAGCCACCCCACACACGGUGGUCGAAGGUGGCAGAGAACAAAACGACGACAAGGUGGUUCUCCUUGAGCUUUUCUGUACAGCGAACAACCCUUUACACGCCACGGAGGAGCAGCGAUAUACACACACACAAACACGACAGCAGUAGCAGCGAAAAAUGUUCGCUCGCUAGCAGGUCCCCGUCGUCGCCGGCGACAAGAGCUACGAUUGACAUCAUCAGAGGCAGCAGAAGCUUCGUCUUCAGCGGGUGGCGCAUCGGCGGUUCGUCACAGAGCUACGAGCAAAAAAAGAACAAGCAGCGAAGGGUGGUACCAGUGGCGGCGGAAAACGAUGGCAAUAAAGCUCAGAAAAGCCCACCUUGGCGAACGACGGCUCACCGUCUCCAUCGACCCUCGGCGGUUCUCCGACAACAGCGUCGCAAUGGCGACCUUCCCUAGCAGCGUAGUAGCCGGCGGUACUCAAUGGUGAGGUGGUAGGCAUCUCCGCUGAUCGGAACAACGAACAGAAGGGAGGUGGUGGCGGCUGACUUCUCCCAUGGCGGCUGGAAAGGCUCUCCUUAGGGUUAGGGUAGGCAACGGUUAUAUACUCCCGAGCCCCAUAAGCAUUAUU
RNAcentral lists this long non-coding RNA (1100 nucleotides) under Lactuca sativa (garden lettuce). Its description in RNAcentral is "long non-coding RNA (LSAT_LNC007795)". Lineage: Eukaryota; Viridiplantae; Streptophyta; Magnoliopsida; Asterales; Asteraceae. The record is from RNAcentral.